AUUGAACGCUGGCGGCAUGCUUUACACAUGCAAGUCGAACGGUAACAGGGUGCUUGUACCGCUGACGAGUGGCGAACGGGUGAGUAAUGCGUCGGAACGUGCCGAGUAGUGGGGGAUAACGCAGCGAAAGUUGUGCUAAUACCGCAUACGUACUGAGGUAGAAAGUGGGGGACCUUCGGGCCUCACGCUAUUCGAGCGGCCGACGUCUGAUUAGCUAGUAGGUGAGGUAAAGGCUCACCUAGGCGACGAUCAGUAGCGGGUCUGAGAGGAUGAUCCGCCACACUGGGACUGAGACACGGCCCAGGCUCCUACGGGAGGCAGCAGUGGGGAAUUUUGGACAAUGGGCGAAAGCCUGAUCCGGCCAUGCCGCGUGUCUGAAGAAGGCCUUCGGGCUGUAAAGGACUUUUGUCAGGGAGGAAAUCCCUAGUGCUAAUAACACUGGGGGAUGACAGUACCUGAAGAAUAAGCACCGGCUAACUACGUGCCAGCCGCCGCAGUAA
RNAcentral lists this ribosomal RNA (500 nucleotides) under uncultured bacterium. RNAcentral's name for it is "partial 16S ribosomal RNA". It matches the Rfam family "Bacterial small subunit ribosomal RNA", at positions 30 to 523 of the family's 1533-position model. The record is from RNAcentral.